This 718-nucleotide ribosomal RNA is filed under the name Pseudomonas sp. A6AG8. Its description in RNAcentral is "bacterial SSU rRNA". It matches the Rfam family "Bacterial small subunit ribosomal RNA", at positions 112 to 826 of the family's 1533-position model. Lineage: Bacteria; Pseudomonadati; Pseudomonadota; Gammaproteobacteria; Pseudomonadales; Pseudomonadaceae. The record is from RNAcentral.
AAUGCCUAGGAAUCUGCCUGGUAGUGGGGGAUAACGUUCGGAAACGGACGCUAAUACCGCAUACGUCCUACGGGAGAAAGCAGGGGACCUUCGGGCCUUGCGCUAUCAGAUGAGCCUAGGUCGGAUUAGCUAGUUGGUGAGGUAAUGGCUCACCAAGGCGACGAUCCGUAACUGGUCUGAGAGGAUGAUCAGUCACACUGGAACUGAGACACGGUCCAGACUCCUACGGGAGGCAGCAGUGGGGAAUAUUGGACAAUGGGCGAAAGCCUGAUCCAGCCAUGCCGCGUGUGUGAAGAAGGUCUUCGGAUUGUAAAGCACUUUAAGUUGGGAGGAAGGGCAUUAACCUAAUACGUUAGUGUUUUGACGUUACCGACAGAAUAAGCACCGGCUAACUCUGUGCCAGCAGCCGCGGUAAUACAGAGGGUGCAAGCGUUAAUCGGAAUUACUGGGCGUAAAGCGCGCGUAGGUGGUUUGUUAAGUUGGAUGUGAAAUCCCCGGGCUCAACCUGGGAACUGCAUUCAAAACUGACUGACUAGAGUAUGGUAGAGGGUGGUGGAAUUUCCUGUGUAGCGGUGAAAUGCGUAGAUAUAGGAAGGAACACCAGUGGCGAAGGCGACCACCUGGACUAAUACUGACACUGAGGUGCGAAAGCGUGGGGAGCAAACAGGAUUAGAUACCCUGGUAGUCCACGCCGUAAACGAUGUCAACUAGCCGUUGG